This 45-nucleotide non-coding RNA is filed under the name Schistosoma bovis. The record is from RNAcentral. RNAcentral also lists the same sequence under 1 other name. Lineage: Eukaryota; Metazoa; Platyhelminthes; Trematoda; Strigeidida; Schistosomatidae.
AUCCAGAUAACGAGUCCCAAGCAGGACGAAAAGUACAUCCUGGAU